Molecule: long non-coding RNA, 535 nt
Organism: Oreochromis niloticus (Nile tilapia)
Lineage: Eukaryota; Metazoa; Chordata; Actinopteri; Cichliformes; Cichlidae
Exons: 3
Source: RefSeq, a predicted model, not a curated record
UUCUUUCCUGCAGGUGCGCUGAGACUAGACUUUGAGUUUCUCCUUAGUAAUAAGUAAAACCAUCUGUCCGUCAACCAGAGGGCAAUAGCCUCCGGCAGUUAUGUCUUAAGCAGGGCCGGACUGGAUUUUCUAAUUAUAUCACAGCCUCACAUUUGAUAAUCUUUCAUCACUCCAAGGACCUACAAAACCAGUUCCAGCUUCAUUUUUAUAUCAGGAAAUGGACAGAUAUCUCUCCACAAUGAACCGUGACAGCAGAGAGCAGGUCUUCAAACGAGCACUCUUUCUGAUGUGGGUUUUCUGCCUACAGUCUGAUGGAGUCUACCCUGAAGCAUGUGUUUGGGGCUAAGGCGCACUCCUGGUUAGCCUCGCUCACUAGUGGAAUGAGGCCUGUCAGAAGGCAUCAGGGUGACUCAUCUCGGGAGGAUGUGCUAACACAUCAUUGCCCCAGACUUUUCAGCAAGGGUUGAUCGUCCAUGAACAAUGCACUUCCCGUCACAUGCUCACACUUGGCCAAUUCAUCAUCUAGCCUUCAACG